AUGGAUGGUUACAAAUUGAUCUGGUCCGGAUGGGCCCCUGGCAAGUGCCGGUUCUUCAUGUGGACUGUCAUGCUCGGCAGAAUUUUGACUGCUGAUGCGCUUUUGCGUCGCGGAUGGGAAAAUGAUUACUUCUACCCGCUUUGUGAGCGGAGUUUAGAAACCCCAUCUCAUCUUCUCAUCGAGUGCCCUUGGUCCAGAACCAUUUGGGAGUCCUUGGCCACGCUUGCAGAUAUGCCUGCUCUCUGCCCGGCGAAUUGGACAGGCGACACUAAGUUUGCACGUUGGAUUCAGAGAUGCCACGAUAGCACGGCGAGGGAAAAGAAAAAGGGACUACUUUCCUUAGUGCACAUGAUUGCUUGGGAAAUUUGGAAGGAGCGGAAUCGACGGAUCUUCCAAAAGGAGUUCUUGUCUCUGGAAAGCUUCAGGCGUAAGAUUAGGGACGAGAUCAGGUUGUGGAAUUUGGCAGGUGCUGGGAUACCCUUUGAUCCGGGCUGA
Molecule: ribosomal RNA, 495 nt
Filed under: Triticum aestivum (bread wheat)
Lineage: Eukaryota; Viridiplantae; Streptophyta; Magnoliopsida; Poales; Poaceae
Description: partial small subunit ribosomal RNA
Source: RNAcentral